UUUUCCUACGGGGGGCAGCAGUGAGGAAUAUUGGUCAAUGGCCGAGAGGCUGAACCAGCCAAGUCGCGUGAGGGAAGAAUGUCCUAUGGAUUGUAAACCUCUUUUGUCAGGGAGCAAAGUCACCCACGUGUGGGUGUUGGAGAGUACCUGAAGAAAAAGCAUCGGCUAACUCCGUGCCAGCAGCCGCGGUAAUACGGAGGAUGCGAGCGUUAUCCGGAUUUAUUGGGUUUAAAGGGUGCGCAGGCGGCGAGUUAAGUCAGCGGUAAAAUUUCGGGGCUCAACCCCGACGAGCCGUUGAAACUGGC
RNAcentral lists this ribosomal RNA (305 nucleotides) under uncultured bacterium. RNAcentral's name for it is "bacterial SSU rRNA". It matches the Rfam family "Bacterial small subunit ribosomal RNA", at positions 334 to 637 of the family's 1533-position model. The record is from RNAcentral.